AAUUGGAUGCAACGCGAAGAACCUUACCUGGUCUUGACAUAUCUAGAAUCCUGCAGAGAUGCGGGAGUGCCUUCGGGAAUUAGAAUACAGGUGCUGCAUGGCUGUCGUCAGCUCGUGUCGUGAGAUGUUGGGUUAAGUCCCGCAACGAGCGCAACCCUUGUCCUUAGUUACCAGCGGGUUAAGCCGGGAACUCUAAGGAUACUGCCAGUGACAAACUGGAGGAAGGCGGGGACGACGUCAAGUCAUCAUGGCCCUUACGACCAGGGCUACACACGUGCUACAAUGGUAGGUACAGAGGGCAGCUACACAGCGAUGUGAUGCGAAUCUCAAAAAGCCUAUCGUAGUCCAGAUUGGAGUCUGCAACUCGACUCCAUGAAGUAGGAAUCGCUAGUAAUCGCGGAUCAGAAUGCCGCGGUGAAUACGUUCCCGGGCCUUGUACACACCGCCCGUCACACCAUGGGAGUUGAUUGCACCAGAAGUGGAUAGCUUAACCUUCGGGGAGGCGUUCACCACGGUGUGGUUGAUGACUGGGGUGAAGUCGUAACAAGGUA
RNAcentral lists this ribosomal RNA (551 nucleotides) under uncultured bacterium. RNAcentral describes it as "bacterial SSU rRNA". It matches the Rfam family "Bacterial small subunit ribosomal RNA", at positions 948 to 1498 of the family's 1533-position model. The record is from RNAcentral.